Molecule: ribosomal RNA, 254 nt
Filed under: uncultured bacterium
Lineage: Bacteria
Description: partial 16S ribosomal RNA
Rfam family: Bacterial small subunit ribosomal RNA
Source: RNAcentral
UACGUAGGGUGCAAGCGUUAAUCGGAAUUACUGGGCGUAAAGCGUGCGCAGGCGGCUUUGUAAGUUUGUCGUGAAAUCCCCGGGCUCAACCUGGGAAUUGCGAUGAAGACUGCAAGGCUAGAAUCUGGCAGAGGGGGGUAGAAUUCCACGUGUGAGCAGUGAAAUGCGUAGAGAUGUGGAGGAACACCGAUGGCGAAGGCAGCCCCCUGGGUCAAGAUUGACGCUCAUGCACGAAAGCGUGGGGAGCAAACAGG